RNAcentral lists this ribosomal RNA (352 nucleotides) under uncultured bacterium. Its description in RNAcentral is "bacterial SSU rRNA". It matches the Rfam family "Bacterial small subunit ribosomal RNA", at positions 917 to 1267 of the family's 1533-position model. The record is from RNAcentral.
GGACCCGCACAAGUAGUGGAGCAUGUGGUUUAAUUCGAAGAUACGCGCAGAACCUUACCAACACUUGACAUGUUCGUCGCGACUUUAAGAGAUUAAAGUUUUCGGUUCGGCCGGACGAAACACAGGUGCUGCAUGGCUGUCGUCAGCUCGUGUCGUGAGAUGUUGGUUAAGUCCCGCAACGAGCGCAACCCUCACUUUUAGUUGCCAUCAUUAAGUUGGGCACUCUGAAAGAACUGCCAGUGAUAAGCUGGAGGAAGGUGGGGAUGACGUCAAGUCCUCAUGGCCCUUACGUGUUGGGCUACACACGUGCUACAAUGGUAUCUACAACAGGAAGCAAGACUGCGAGGACAAG